AAUCCCACCCCUAUCUCCAAGCCAAACACCGGGUCAGCCCUCAAUUCUUGGCCGGUGGAGGCAUCACCUCGUUCGGCUUGCGCUUUAUACUUUCGACGAGGUGCAUAACUCCAGCCCAGAAACAAUACCUGAAUACAUAGCCUACGUUUAUUGCUCUUUAGUCGCUUUCAUUAUAGCCUAGAGGUAGGCUAAAUCAAGUUAGUAGGCUAUACCGGUGAUUGAUUUUUUAAAAGUAUGAAUUUAGCUCAGGAAAACGAAGAUUCCAAAUAGAUUAGUUGUGGUUCCAUUUCAUGUGAAGAUUAUGUUGUCAGUUUAGGUCAAUUUACUUCAUAGCCAUUAUAUAUGGUUUCGUUUGUUUAUAAAUCCGCGUGCAGUUAUAUCUGUUGAAGUGUUGAUCGUGGUUUGGCCAAAAUAGCAUACAGUUAGUUUCCUCACUGGUUGUGCUUAAUGAUAUACUUACACAGACUAUGCUGAGACGGAAAGAGAGUCCACAGCCACCCGUACCUGAAUGGUGGGCAAUCGGACUCAAUGUAGUGAUUAUAUUUCAGGGCUGUCCAUUUCCGUGACUCGCUGCUGUUUUGUGAACGAUUCACAGCAAGGACAGCGACUAAUAAACCGGACAUUGCCACUUUAAAAAACUGCCCCGGGCCAUUUGAAAAGCGCAGAGACAGAUGCUGCGUCGAGUCAAGAAGAAAAGAAAACAAAUGAAUUUCGAGGGCAAAAUCGACAGAUAUAUAACGCGCAUAAACUGAAACAUUUUCAGCAUAAACUGAAAUAUGUUCUCUGAGCGUGAGGGCACAUCAGCGUCCUGACUCGCCUAAACAGUUUGUUGGUUGAAAACACACAAUACUCCAUGCAGCUCCGGGAAUGUUCCUGUCUGCAGCCGGCCCUCUCCUCCCCGGCUUCCCAAACUUUGAUCAGCGAGGCCUGGCCGCGGAGCCGCUUGAGCCGUGCAGCAUGUGGGUUGCUUUUUCAAUUACAACCCAGUUCGUGACCCUGGCAUAUAUCAUUAACCCCCCCACUCUCACUGCAGCAAGCUUACACAAGCGUAAUGGGUCAGGGCACACUAACAGCAUCUUAUUUGAGUGCAAAAUAGCAGCAAGACGUACUUGUUUGCCAUUCAUUGAUUUCUGAAAAUAUAUUUAACAAAACCACUAAAUAACUUACUAUCUUUAAGCAUAUCAUGCGAUUCAAUGAAACAUCCAUAUCAUGGUUUCGGUCGAGUGGCAUUGAAUGGUCCUUAAUGGAUAGUUUCAGUGAUAACAGUGGAUUACAAAAACAACAAACCACAACCUCAAAAUACCUCAGAGAUGGCAGUUUUAGGAUGCUACUGAUAGCAAGGUGUUAGAAUAACAUAGCUACUAAAUCCGUAAAGUAUUUAUGCAAUGCAUUAUAGCCUAAUGAUUGUAAUUAAAUGACGCGGGUUAAACCGUAGGAUAUUUUGUGAGUGAUAUAGCACCUGGAAGAGAUUUGAUCCUUUGAAUAGUCCUAGAAUAAAUAAAAAAGCAUUAGCCUACGGAGAAAUGAGAAUUCCCUGCAGAUUGAUUGAUCUUUUGUACGCUUACUGUUUACAUCUUGUGAAUACUGACUAGAACCGUAACAAUACAUGAUUCGCUAGUUCUUUCGGCGGGUAACGUUGACAAUAGUGCUAACAGUGAUUUGUACGCACCUUUGAAUUUGUGUUGCAAUGCUUUGUCUUCUUGUCAAUUAGCUGAUGUCAUCGAAGUCUUUACUAGAUAUAUUACAACCUCGUUAAGGUCAUAAUGCUACUGACUCACAACUUUUAAACAAAGCUGCUGUCCUCGGACAGUGUUAGGGUUAGAGAUAUAGGACAAUUGAAAGUUACAUGCAAAGUGUAUUUUAUGCAUCUAAGAAAAUUAAGAAACAAUUCAAAUCCAUAUGGGUGAUGUAGGCUACAAGAAUGUCUACCUACUAUAUAGGGAAAUGUAUGUCAUUAACUUCACUAGAAAGCUUCAUGUAAUUGCUGCAUCUGCAGUUGAAGUAAACCGAAAAAUAGGCCACAUCUGAAAUAAAUGGGAGAGUAUUUCCUAGGUGUUGGAAGUUAUCUGACUGACUUCAGAAAUGGAAGGUAUAAAUGACGUAUAGGCUAUAUAGCCUAAAAUGUUGCUCUGUCCGGAGUACCCGCUCAUGUGCAUUUUACCUGUAUCCCUAUGGUCUCAUGAGUCUCUCGUUCUGCCCCUGAACAAGGCACUUAACCUACUGUUCCUAAACCAUAAUUUAAAAUAAGAAUUUCUUCUUAACAGACUUGCCUAGUUCAUAAAAAUAAAAGCAACUUUGUGGAUAGGUCAUGUAGGCCCAGGGGUCCUAGUACCACUGGUUAGGAACCGCUACUAUAGACUAACAAUUUUGGUUUGUUCAAAUGUCUUCGCUCAAAUAGGUAGUAGAGAGACGACAAGUUAAUCAAAUCAAACUUUAUUGGUCACAUGCGUCGAAUACAACAAGUGUAUACUUAAUGUCCUAUUGACAACAUGUGCACAUAGCAUAUCCAUUUCUGUUCAGGAACGUAACUCUAUAACAGCCUUGAUCAAUUUGAUGUGAUGUUGCAACACAACAUGGAGAGGCUGGCAAUUAUGUUUGACAUGCACUCAGUUCCCUUGAAAAUAGCCCUGUUGCUCUCUACUAUGGGCUACAGUCCUAUCAAACUCGUGUUGAUUUAACAGAGUUGAACUUGUUGACAGUGCUUCAAAAUUCAAUUUUCAACUCAUGCGACCGAAUACAUUGAAUCGUAUUAUAUACAGAAGCGAUAUGAAAUUACUUGGGUCAGGGGGAAAUCACAUUUAUUUCAGACAUACUUUCAUUUAGCAAGGAAAGCACUUUCCCGUGUUCAAUUUCGAACGUAACCGCUCACACGAUGGUCUCUAUCAUUGAAUUAGAAAUAAGUGUACACAUAGGCAGGCUAUAAUCUUGCUCAGAAUCAGGCGAUUGGGGUCCUCAGUUUAUGAGGAAGCGUUUCGUUUGAAUAAAAUCAUUGAUGCAUAAAGCAUUUUCAUUGGACACUUUGGCAAUGUAAACAACACAGAACUGUUAGGUUAUAAAAAAAGUAUUCGCCUCCUGUUAGACGAUUGAAAAGCCUGCUCUGAAAAGUGUCUAUUAAGAUUACAUUUGUACAUUAAAUGAACAAUAAUAAUAAUAAUAACCCUAUGCGAAUUGUAAUUGUUUAGUGACAUUUGUUUUAUUCACUAAAAGGUCAUAAAAUGUCAUCAACAUACCUGCAAUGACCACGGCAUUUCCCAAUAUAUUCUUCUGUCAUAUUCAUACGAACAAUAGGAUAUAAUACAUGGUAUUGCCUUUGAUUGGUUUCAAAUGUCUGGCACUAUAAAAUGAAUUCGAAGUAGACCUAUUUGAUAUCUAGUUGUCUCCUUUGUGGAUCAAAAGAGUGCACUGAGGAAAGGAAAAUAAUUAUAAGUGAUUAAAAAAUAGGGAAUUUUACUUGCCUAACAUACAUAUUGGCUAACAAUGUAAGUCUUCCUAGUCUAUUUAGUUGAGAGGAUGACAACAAUUAAAUGACAGCAAUCAAAAUACUAUUUCAGAUCUGAUAUUGUUAAAUGUUUUGUAUUGUACACAUUAUAAUGCUAUUAGUCUGAUAAAUUAUUGAAUAUAAGUGAAUAACAAAUUCCAUCACAUUUUAAGACACAUAUAUGUACACAAAUAAAUCACACAAAGUUAAAGAAAUACAGUAUAUGAGGUUGGAUAGAGAUUACUUUUGCUCUGUAAUUUGCGUUCAUUGGGCAGUGAAUUUUUUUCUGUGUGAUUUUGAGCAAAACAAUGUUAGCAAAAGCUUAGCAAACCUGUCCACAAGUGGUUGUAGCUAGCUAUGUAUCAAUACGGCUUCUCUCCUGGUGCCAACCUUGUCUCUCCUCUCGCUGCUCUAUCUAUUCACAUGGUUUGCUGGCAGAGGAGGAUGGGUAUAAAUGGAGACUGUCACAAGAGAGGGUAAAAACCAGGGUCAUGUUCAGGAGGCAGACAACGUUUUGAAACAGAGUGAAACAGCUAAGGUGUGCCCUCCUUUAACAGGCCCCUCCCUCCCCCUGGUAGAGGUGCCAGCUGGGGCACUGGCCUGGGCAUGGUUCCCUCCGACUUAGAGAGACAUUGGUAUGCAGGGCAUCAUGUCACAGUGUGGGGCACCAGGGGAGCGUCAGUGGGCAAACCAUAGAAAUAUAAUGAAUAGAACAGGCGUUCCCAUUCAAGUCAAUUAUGCCCACAGUGGAGGUGUCAUAAUACCCAUAAAACCCAGUGGUCAGACAGGGAAAUGGUUCCAAUCGUUUUUUCCAUCAUUCAUUUUUCCCAUAGGGGAAUUUAUAAACAUUUAAAAUUAGGGCUGUGUUUCUUGUAGGCUUACCCUGGUGUGAUGUUAUGAUAACCAUGUAAAUCUCUCUCGGACAAGGUGACUUAUCAAUAUAUUUGGCUCUAUUUACUCUCAGAUUCAAAAAUGCUAAUUCGCUUCAAAGUAGACGUCACGCAAAACUACAAACCUCUGCAAGCUCCUGCACGUCAUCUCUAGCUGACACCUCUGCUAUCAGGUAUUGUGUCAAUUUAAAACUGGCAAAAGGGCAGUGCUGAGGCGUCACUACAGCCUCGGGUUCGAUCCCAGCCGGCUGUGACCGGGAGACAGGCAAAUUAUUGAUAAAAGUAACCCUGUCCUAGACAGAUUUACACGGUUAUCAAAACGUCACACCAGGGUAACCCUACAUGAAACACAGCCCUUAUUUUAAGUGUUUAUAAAAUCCCCCAUGAAUGAUGAUGAAUGGUGGAAAAAUGAUUUGAACCAUUUCCCUGUUUGACCGCUAGGUUUUAUGGGUAUAUGACUCAUACUGUGGUACUCUAUGGGUGGACGAGUCAUAUGUGCUGUAAUUUGUUGAUUAAACUGACAUGACAAAAAAAUACAUUAGUUUGAAUGAACAUGGAAAUGAUUGCAUCACAUUACCAGGCAGCCACUGUAAGUGGACCCAUGUGUUUACCAAUCAAAAAUGCCAGGGUUAGAAGUUCCAAGCCCAUUCAAUUCAUUCUUUUUCUAUGGGGCAAACAACCUGAAGGCCAGAGCAGAGCCAGUGCUUGUUGGCCUGAGUAUGCCUGCUCAAACACAUUCACAUGGCCAUUGUUUCAGUCUCUGGCCUGGUUUUGCUCCUGUCUAAGGUAAGUGAAUUGCAUUUAAACAUAGGGGCCCUACAUCAAUUAGUCUUGUACUGAUUUUAGAUUCUUGAACAUUUUGUAGUUCAUUUGAUUCUUGUUCUGAGUGUCUGAUAAGUUUUAGAGUGUUGUAUUCACGGUCUGCUUUUCCACAAUAAACUGGCAGAAAAUGUG
Molecule: long non-coding RNA, 5322 nt
Organism: Oncorhynchus gorbuscha (pink salmon)
Lineage: Eukaryota; Metazoa; Chordata; Actinopteri; Salmoniformes; Salmonidae
Exons: 3
Source: RefSeq, a predicted model, not a curated record